This 1368-nucleotide long non-coding RNA is filed under the name Olea europaea subsp. europaea. The record is from RNAcentral. Lineage: Eukaryota; Viridiplantae; Streptophyta; Magnoliopsida; Lamiales; Oleaceae.
ACGCUGUGUCAUCUUCUCUAUCACAAUUCACAAUCCCCUGCAGAUAUUUCCUAUUUCAGUUCCCGCGCCCCGUCCCCCACACGCAGUCACACAGAAUGGCAGCGGCAGUGAAUUGCUACCUCUCAGUGACUUCAACAGCCACACCCACAUCUCAAGAUUCUCCACAGCCAGCAAUCACGAGGCCGCCGACCAAGAUCAUACUGCCCAAGAAAAAGCCUAUGAAAUGGUCUACAGGGGUGGCUCCGGGUGAGUAUGGGGGCCCACCCACCACAACGAAGCUCAGGAAAUACUGGGGUGGAGAUGAGGACCCUCUUGCCUCUGAUGAAUACUUGUGGAACAAAGACUUCAUGGGUCGAAUGAAAAAGUUCAUUCAAGACCCCGUCGAUGUCGACACUAAUUCUGACCCUCGAUUCUCAUCUGCGAAGGUCCAGUAUUUGGCCAAUUGAUUAUUUUUGGUUUGUCAUUAUCUGGGUUUUUUUGAGUGAUUUAUAUUGUGGGUUUUAUUUUUGCUGUUGCUUUUGUAUGAGAAAUUAGUAAAAAUGGGGAAUUUUUAGCGCUCAUUGAGAUUAAUUGUUUUGGAAUUUGGAACUUGGAUAAUACUGCUUGUUGAACAUUGUAUAGGGAUGUCUAGUGUCAUUUUUUUCCCCUUCUUUUCAGAGAGAAUUUCUAGAAUGUUCUGCUUGUCUAAUUAAUUGACUGUUCUACGAAGUACUGCUGAUCUAAUUUUUUGGUUUCAUUCCGAAACUGUUUGUUCUGAUUUUACCACAGAUUGAAUUUUUAUUGCUUUUAGUUGAUAAAUAUAUUGUCCAGGUAUCAGCACUGAAUUUGGUAAAUUAUACUGUUUUGGUAUGUUUCUGAACAGGAAGAGCCUUGUGGAUUUCUUAGCUUGAACAGAGUGAUGAGCUUGGACAGGUACACAACCUUUUAUUUUUGGAAAUUGUUAUUUUAUUUUGUCUUGAAUUCCUAUACUGCUUUCCCGUGUAAUAGUCCCACUCUUUGAGGAUGCAGUUUGGAAAUUGACUUGAGCAAAGAGUUAACAGCGACUUCAAGAUCUGCGGUUGAACCACGAGUUGAAGAAAUUCAAGUGUGACAGAUUUUAAGUUCCCUUUGAAAAAAUGGUCUGUAAAACUAGUUUGCAUUUGUUAUUUUCCAUACUCAUCAGGAUUGAAAUGAUUUGUAGAGUAAUAGCAUUGCUUCUCGAAAAUGGAGACCAGCCCCAACACGACGUGAGCUAGAGAAGUGGGACAGAGCUACUAAAGCUGCAACUGGAGGCAGUGUGUGUAGUUUCAUUUUGGACAUGCAAUUUUCUUCUCAUCUUAUAUGCUUAAACUUCUGUUUGCUUAAAACAAAUUGCUGAUUUUCGAGCUG